UGGGGAAUAUUGCACAAUGGGGGAAACCCUGAUGCAGCGACGCCGCGUGAGCGAAGAAGGCUUUCGAGUCGUAAAGCUCUGUCCUAUGAGAAGAUAAUGACGGUAUCAUAGGAGGAAGCCCUGGCUAAAUACGUGCCAGCAGCCGCGGUAAUACGUAUGGGGCGAGCGUUGUCCGGAAUUAUUGGGCGUAAAGGGUACGUAGGCGGUUUUUUAAGUCAGGUGUCAAAGCGUGGAGCUUAACUCCAUUAAGCACUUGAAACUGAAAGACUUGAGUGAAGGAGAGGAAAGUGGAAUUCCUAGUGUAGCGGUGAAAUGCGUAGAUAUUAGGAGGAAUACCGGUGGCGAAGGCGACUUUCUGGACUUUUACUGACGCUCAGGUACGAAAGCGGGGGGAGCAAACAGG
RNAcentral lists this ribosomal RNA (403 nucleotides) under Verrucomicrobiota bacterium. RNAcentral's name for it is "Verrucomicrobia bacterium partial 16S ribosomal RNA". It matches the Rfam family "Bacterial small subunit ribosomal RNA", at positions 355 to 776 of the family's 1533-position model. Lineage: Bacteria; Pseudomonadati; Verrucomicrobiota. The record is from RNAcentral.